CAGAGACUGCGAGCGUUAUUCGGAUUCACUGGGCGUAAAGGGUGCGCAGGCGGCCGAGUGUGUGAGGCGUGAAAGCCCGGGGCUUAACCCCGGAAUUGCACCUCAAGCUACACGGCUAGAGCAUUGGAGAGGGUAGCAGAAUUCAUGGUGUAGCAGUGAAAUGCGUAGAUAUCAUGAGGAAUACCAGAGGCGAAGGCGGCUACCUGGACAAUUGCUGACGCUCAGGCACGAAAGCGUGGGGAGCAAAAGGGAUUAGAUACCCCUGUAGUCCACGCCCUAAACGGUGCACACUAGGUCUUGGCGGAUUCGACCCCCCCAGGGCCCAAGCUAACGCGUUAAGUGUGCCGCCUGAGGACUACGGCCGCAAGGCUAA
RNAcentral lists this ribosomal RNA (373 nucleotides) under uncultured organism. RNAcentral's name for it is "bacterial SSU rRNA". It matches the Rfam family "Bacterial small subunit ribosomal RNA", at positions 526 to 897 of the family's 1533-position model. The record is from RNAcentral.